UACGUAGGGUGCGAGCGUUAAUCGGAAUUACUGGGCGUAAAGCGUGCGCAGGCGGUUUUGUAAGCCGGAUGUGAAAUCCCCGGGCUUAACCUGGGAAUGGCAUUCGGGACUGCAAGGCUGGAGUGCGGCAGAGGAGACUGGAAUUCCUGGUGUAGCAGUGAAAUGCGUAGAUAUCAGGAGGAACACCGAUGGCGAAGGCAGGUCUCUGGGCUGACACUGACGCUCAUGCACGAAAGCGUGGGGAGCAAACAGG
This 253-nucleotide ribosomal RNA is filed under the name uncultured bacterium. RNAcentral describes it as "partial 16S ribosomal RNA". It matches the Rfam family "Bacterial small subunit ribosomal RNA", at positions 524 to 776 of the family's 1533-position model. The record is from RNAcentral. RNAcentral also lists the same sequence under 1 other name.